UUUAUUACCUGUAUGGCCACUGAAAUACGUUAUUUAUAGUGUGCAAUACAUGACCGAUCGGGCAUUGUUAAGAACCAAAAUUAAUUUUCAAAUGUGAUAAUUAAAAUAAAUUACGUGGUACAUUUGUAAAUUAAGGAUACACAUGAAAAAAGAGGGGAUGUUUUUGUUUUAUUCUCAGAAUCAACAAAAUUCCUUCAAAAAAAAAUUUGAUAAGGGUUUUGGCCCGCUUGAUCUCUCAAUGGAAGCAAACUACUAGUAUCGUUUUGCUUCAUUCUGGUACGAUUUAAAAAAAUAAUAAAAAAAAAAAAAUAUUUUGGAAAACACAAAUCCCCUUUUCACAAUAUGAACGCUCGAUGAUUUAUUUUAUAAUGCAAAUUUGGGAUUUUGUUGUUCACUUGCCUAAUAACUUUUAGCAUUGUAUGAUUGGGUAGCAUUUGCAUUGUUUAAUGUCUCCCGAAAAGUCCACCAA
Molecule: long non-coding RNA, 469 nt
Filed under: Mytilus galloprovincialis (Mediterranean mussel)
Lineage: Eukaryota; Metazoa; Mollusca; Bivalvia; Mytilida; Mytilidae
Source: RNAcentral